Molecule: microRNA precursor, 81 nt
Filed under: Scleropages formosus (Asian bonytongue)
Lineage: Eukaryota; Metazoa; Chordata; Actinopteri; Osteoglossiformes; Osteoglossidae
Description: mir-459 microRNA precursor family
Rfam family: mir-459 microRNA precursor family
Source: Rfam by way of RNAcentral
UCCCCUGCUGUCAGUAACAAGGAUUCAACCUGUUGUUAAGUUGCCACCCAACAGGGGAUCUAUGUUACUGGGGUCAGGAGA